This 497-nucleotide ribosomal RNA is filed under the name uncultured bacterium. Its description in RNAcentral is "partial 16S ribosomal RNA". It matches the Rfam family "Bacterial small subunit ribosomal RNA", at positions 28 to 507 of the family's 1533-position model. The record is from RNAcentral.
GGCGAACGCUGGCGGCGUGCCUAAUACAUGCAAGUUGAGCGCUGAAGGUUGGUACUUGUACCAACUGGAUGAGCAGCGAACGGGUGAGUAACGCGUGGGGAAUCUGCCUUUGAGCGGGGGACAACAUUUGGAAACGAAUGCUAAUACCGCAUAAAAACUUUAAACACAAGUUUUAAGUUUGAAAGAUGCAAUUGCAUCACUCAAAGAUGAUCCCGCGUUGUAUUAGCUAGUUGGUGAGGUAAAGGCUCACCAAGGCGAUGAUACAUAGCCGACCUGAGAGGGGGGUCGGCCACAUUGGGACUGGGACACGGCCCAAACUCCUACGGGAGGCAGCAGUAGGGGAACUUCGGCAAUUGACGAAAGUCUGACCGGGCAACGCCGCGUGAGUGAAUAAGGUUUUCGGAUCGUAAAACUCUGUUGGUAGAGAAGAACGUUGGUGAGAGGGGAAAACGCAUCAAGUGACGGUAACUACCCAGAAAGGGACGGCUAACUACGUG